CUUUAGGGGUUAAGAGCAUGGUCUCUGGAGCCAGAGUUCUUGGGCUCAAAUAUCAACCCUUUCACUAACUAGAGCUAUGAUCUAAGAUUACUUAACCUUUCUAUGCCUCAGUCCCUCAUUUAAAAAAUGAGGAAAAUAACAUAAUCUACCUCAUAGACCUAGUGUGAAGAUUCAAUGCGUUUAUGCAAAGUGCUAAGAACAGUGUCUCAAAGAUAGUAAGCACUAUAUAAAUGUUUGUUAUUAUCAUCCACCAACCUGCUCUGUCCACAACUUAGGGUCAUCGCCGGCCACAGCCAUGUACAAGUGACCUCUCUCCUCUCAUUCCACCCAACUGGCUUCCAGGUAAAGGCAGAGGACCCUCUUUGGGCUAUGGUUGGAUAAUCUGGAGGACAGAUUUUUUCUGACUCAGAAUGGAAGUCUACAUAACAGAAGAGGCUCUGAAAGCUUCAGAUGAUGCAACCAAGGAGGCUGCUGCUCUACGCUGAUCUUCCUGAUCUUCACCCAUCUCCACAGGUUCCCAGUGAGAAAUUACUUCAAAAUUCAGACUUCAAGGGGAAGAUGAAAGAAGGAUAUCCUAAAGUUGUACCUAAAUUUCUUUUCAGUGCCCCCUCCCACGUUUAAAGGUGUAUUUCGUUCAAGUAACUUACUUGUUGUCAUUAAUAAAUUCCAGAAUCUCCUGUUCUAA
Long non-coding RNA from Suricata suricatta (meerkat), 685 nucleotides. RefSeq lists it as uncharacterized. The record is from RefSeq and is a predicted model, not a curated record. NCBI's taxonomy places the organism in Eukaryota, Metazoa, Chordata, Mammalia, Carnivora, Herpestidae. The transcript has 3 exons.